This 844-nucleotide ribosomal RNA is filed under the name uncultured bacterium. Its description in RNAcentral is "bacterial SSU rRNA". It matches the Rfam family "Bacterial small subunit ribosomal RNA", at positions 8 to 812 of the family's 1533-position model. The record is from RNAcentral.
AGAGUUUGAUCCUGGCUCAGGACGAACGCUGGCGGCGUGCCUAAUACAUGCAAGUCGAGCGAGCUUGCCUAGAUGAUUUUAGUGCUUGCACUAAAUGAAACUAGAUACAAGCGAGCGGCGGACGGGUGAGUAACACGUGGGUAACCUGCCCAAGAGACUGGGAUAACACCUGGAAACAGAUGCUAAUACCGGAUAACAACACUAGACGCAUGUCUAGAGUUUGAAAGAUGGUUCUGCUAUCACUCUUGGAUGGACCUGCGGUGCAUUAGCUAGUUGGUAAGGUAACGGCUUACCAAGGCAAUGAUGCAUAGCCGAGUUGAGAGACUGAUCGGCCACAUUGGGACUGAGACACGGCCCAAACUCCUACGGGAGGCAGCAGUAGGGAAUCUUCCACAAUGGACGAAAGUCUGAUGGAGCAACGCCGCGUGAGUGAAGAAGGGUUUCGGCUCGUAAAGCUCUGUUGGUAGUGAAGAAAGAUAGAGGUAGUAACUGGCCUUUAUUUGACGGUAAUUACUUAGAAAGUCACGGCUAACUACGUGCCAGCAGCCGCGGUAAUACGUAGGUGGCAAGCGUUGUCCGGAUUUAUUGGGCGUAAAGCGAGUGCAGGCGGUUCAAUAAGUCUGAUGUGAAAGCCUUCGGCUCAACCGGAGAAUUGCAUCAGAAACUGUUGAACUUGAGUGCAGAAGAGGAGAGUGGAACUCCAUGUGUAGCGGUGGAAUGCGUAGAUAUAUGGAAGAACACCAGUGGCGAAGGCGGCUCUCUGGUCUGCAACUGACGCUGAGGCUCGAAAGCAUGGGUAGCGAACGGGAUUAGAUACCCUGGUAGUCCAUGCCGUAAACGAUGA